UUUUUUGUUUUUAUUGGCGGCCGGGGUCUAAUAACGAGGUUGUAAAUAAAGACUCUGAGAACGAGGUCGCUAUCGCGGAGUCAUUUAGUCGGGCUCCCUGUGUUCUUUGCAUACUUUAUUUACGUAGAGGUAUCAGUUACCAGUGAGCUCGAGGAAGUGCACUGAGCUGAUUCUGAAACGUCAGCUAAACAACGAGUGGCGAGGAUUUCCCCCUCAAAAUACAUCAAAAUGACCCGCGGUAACCAGCGAGAACUUGCGAGGGCCAAAAACCAGAAGAAGUUACAAGAACAGCAGAAGAAGAAAGCGGCCAAAGAGUCGGGAGCAAAUUCGGGUUCAAAUCUGGAGAACCGACGCCACAGGGAUGCCGAGGCGAUGCGUUUGAAGCAGCAGAAGGCAGAGGAAAAGAAACUGGCAGAGGCAGCGGGGGGCAGCUCGAAGUAACCCCGGCCCUUCCGGAGGACGUCUCAGGCCAAGGAGAAAUGGAAAUUAAACAUCAUGGCAUCCCAUUCCUCUCGGAGGCUUACUUAUAAAUACUGGCCAAGGCACUUGUAGAUAAGGCGACAGAAAGAUGAACAGAUGAAAUAUUUUUUUCCCCACUACCCUUUUCUUAUUAUUAAAAAACAGAUUCAUUGAGCUGGAAGAAGUAAUACUCCAAGUUUCAUAAUUAUUGUAAAUUUUUGUCGUGUCAUUUAAAAUCUUGUUUUUGCAAAGUAACAGAUUUUUUUUCUGCAUUGCAUUCCUUUUUUUUUCCUGAUUGUGUAUCACAAAUAAAAAGUUAGAAAUUACAUGUAGGAGUGUGUUUAUCACCCAUUGUAAUGUGUGAAUUUUUUUCAGCUUAUUUUGUAAGACUGUAUGUUAUUUACAAACAUAAUGUUAUUAAUUUGCAUGCUAGCCUUUUGAAAAGGAUCACUCACUCUUACAUUUGGCACAAAAUAUUUUGACCGUGGAAAUAUUGGAUGCACAUGAAAACAAAAGCUACGACAUUCACUCAUAAAAUUGAAGACAAGUACACGCUGAUUGUCAAAGUUUUCGUUUUCUUGAUUGUCAAAGUGUUGAUAAAUUUAUGUGUAUUGUAAGGUCAUAAAUCGCCUGAAUAAUAUCCACAGAAAGCUCCUUUUGACUUGUCAGUACAAAUAACCACAUAUUCACAUACAUCUCAAAUUGUUCUCUUGCAGGCAAGUUUAUUACAAAAGAAUUGAUGCAGAAAUAAAAGCAACAGCAUUUUUGAACUUUACAGAUAAA
This is a long non-coding RNA of Patiria miniata (bat star), 1242 nucleotides long. RefSeq lists it as uncharacterized. The record is from RefSeq and is a predicted model, not a curated record. NCBI's taxonomy places the organism in Eukaryota, Metazoa, Echinodermata, Asteroidea, Valvatida, Asterinidae. The transcript is spliced from 3 exons.